CGGUAGCUGCCGAGUUCGUUAGGAGACGAUUUCCCAGGGACCUUAAUUCUCAUAGGGAGCUGUCCCUGCUUAGGGCCGUGGUCUUAGGCACACGGCGCCCACCUGGUUAGCCAGGUUCUAUUGGGGCUUCCAACUCCGACGGUUCACGUGGCGCCGC
Molecule: non-coding RNA, 157 nt
Filed under: Alphaproteobacteria bacterium
Lineage: Bacteria; Pseudomonadati; Pseudomonadota; Alphaproteobacteria
Description: 6S RNA
Rfam family: 6S / SsrS RNA
About the family: E. coli 6S RNA was the first non coding RNA to be sequenced, but its function was unknown until recently. It consists of 184 nucleotides that fold into an extended hairpin structure with a large single-stranded internal bulge. The 6S RNA specifically associates with RNA polymerase holoenzyme containing the sigma70 specificity factor.
Source: RNAcentral